GAUGAACGCUGGCGGCGUGCCUAAUACAUGCAAGUCGAGCGAACAGACGAGGAGCUUGCUCCUUUGACGUUAGCGGCGGACGGGUGAGUAACACGUGGAUAACCUACCUAUAAGACUGGGAUAACUUCGGGAAACCGGAGCUAAUACCGGAUAACAUGUUGAACCGCAUGGUUCAACAGUGAAAGACGGUCUUGCUGUCACUUAUAGAUGGAUCCGCGCCGCAUUAGCUAGUUGGUAAGGUAACGGCUUACCAAGGCAACGAUGCGUAGCCGACCUGAGAGGGUGAUCGGCCACACUGGAACUGAGACACGGUCCAGACUCCUACGGGAGGCAGCAGUAGGGAAUCUUCCGCAAUGGGCGAAAGCCUGACGGAGCAACGCCGCGUGAGUGAAGAAGGUCUUCGGAUCGUAAAACUCUGUUAUUAGGGAAGAACAAAUGUGUAAGUAACUAUGCACGUCUUGACGGUACCUAAUCAGAAAGCCACGGCCAACUACGUG
RNAcentral lists this ribosomal RNA (497 nucleotides) under uncultured bacterium. Its description in RNAcentral is "partial 16S ribosomal RNA". It matches the Rfam family "Bacterial small subunit ribosomal RNA", at positions 28 to 507 of the family's 1533-position model. The record is from RNAcentral.